Molecule: RNA transcript, 1570 nt
Organism: Lolium perenne
Lineage: Eukaryota; Viridiplantae; Streptophyta; Magnoliopsida; Poales; Poaceae
Source: RefSeq, a predicted model, not a curated record
UAAUUAUUUUCUCUGAUUACAUCAUUGUAUGGCCGAUCUGAAGAACAUUAUUGAUAGUAGGAGUACAUCAUACAAGGUUGAUUUUAGUCUGUUGUCACCGACUCAUAACCUGAAAAUGUAAUUAUCCUGUUUGUGAUAAGAUUUGGGUGCUCCUAGCUAUAACUUUUCAUAAAAAACAAAAAGAACAAUAAAAAAAGUGCAAAGGAUACUCAUGUUACCAGAACCAGUUAACGGUUUUCUCAUACAAGGUGCAACAUCAGCUUUUAUCUCUAUCAACGUUAUCAUGUGAGAACGCACCAACCCAACACCCCCACUCUCUCUCCUCUCAUUUCUCUCUGUUCGCUUCCCUUCUCCUCGCGAUGCCGCCGCCGCCCUGCUCCGGCCGGUUGCCGCCUUGCUGGCCAUCUCCGGCGCCACCGCUCUCUAGCACCGCCUCUCCGCGGACUCCUCCGUCGAUCCCUCUUCUCGAUUUGACCCUCACGCCCUCUCUCUUCUGUCCUCGACCUCGAGAACACGGCCUCCCCUGCCGGUUCAGCUGCCACCGGUAGCUACCGAAGCUGCCACGCAUCGAUGAGACGCCGCUCAGACUUCCUCCGCUUGCUCUCCAUCACAGCCACGCUUCUAGGCGCACCCGCGCGGCCACAUAUUUGGGCCUCCUCUCGCCAGCCCUCCUUACCGACACAAGACCUUCCGCUUAUCCCCUCCUCGAGAUGCAAGCUUCACGAAGAAAUCAUGGACUGGCAUUAUAUUGGCGUGUGAGAGAGAGGGAGACGUUCCUUGUUGUCAUUGAUCAUGGUGGCAAUGUGCCGAACUGGGAGGGGCAAAGUUAUGAGAUCAGUCCUCCGGCAAGUGUUUAGUACUUCAACCAUUUUCUCAGCCAGGGCAAAUCUUGGAAGGGUCAGUGAGAAGGGAACCAUGGGAAUAAACUGGGAUUGGAGUUGGUCAAGUCAUUUACCACAGGUCUCAGAUAUGGCCUGCUAUUGUUUAUUCAGUUGAGACUAUUGAGCAAGUUGCAGUAAACCUGAGGCCGACGUGUAGCAAUUUAAGCACCUACCCUAAUGGAUGAUUCAUUUCUCUUCGGGUGGAGAGAAGUGAGGCCUGGAAGAACCAUGGUGAUCUGAUGUGCUGCCGAGCAAGGAAGAAGGUCUUGUGUUGGGCGCAUGUGGACCUGGAGGUGCUUACCGGUACUCUGUUGGGUAAGUGUUGGGCACGUGUGGACCUGGAGGUGCAGCUGGCUUACAGGGAGAGCAGCUGGGUGACCUGGAGCUGCCGCGAGUUGGGCCACAAGCUGGGUGGCGCAACCAGAUCGUCGGUGAAGGAGUCCGAUGGUGAGACAUAACUGUUGUUCGCCGCUGCAAGCCUGUCCAUGGCCAGCGCGGACACAGUGGGUCACGCCGCUGUAGUUUGGAUUAUCAAGUAGUUUGGAUUAUCACCUAGUUUGGCUUCUGUGUGAUAGUUUGUAGGAAUUUAAAUGUUUGAAUUAUCUGUUUUUAUUACCAGAUGUUUAUGCCGGUUGUUUCUGUAGUUUCGACAGAAUUUGAUGUUGUUUAGUAGGCAAUCAUAACUUGAA